CACCAUUGUUACAGGAUCUGGAAAAAACAAUGAAAUCAUGCAACACACAACUGACACAGGACAAAAGACUGGGAUCAGACCCCCUUCUGUGCCUCCUGUUUGAGAUAGACACACCCCAGGAACAGGUUGCUGCUGCGACUCUACAUGAAGUAUC
Long non-coding RNA from Pecten maximus, 154 nucleotides. RefSeq lists it as uncharacterized. The record is from RefSeq and is a predicted model, not a curated record. The transcript has 3 exons. Lineage: Eukaryota; Metazoa; Mollusca; Bivalvia; Pectinida; Pectinidae.